Pipistrellus kuhlii (Kuhl's pipistrelle) is the source of this 933-nucleotide long non-coding RNA. RefSeq lists it as uncharacterized. The record is from RefSeq and is a predicted model, not a curated record. Lineage: Eukaryota; Metazoa; Chordata; Mammalia; Chiroptera; Vespertilionidae. The transcript is spliced from 3 exons.
UGACAUGUUGAGUCAUUGAGUCUCCACAGACUUUUGAAAGGGAACCAUUAAUCAAAACAUUCAAGAACCAGAGGGUCCCAGAGAAAAUCUUUCUUCUGAUCUGGAAUUAUGUUAUCGACCACAGAGAGCGGCUACUUACAAUUCGUGGGAGAGGGCCCUGUGUGGUGAGAGGUCCAUGAAUCUCUUUGUUCAGUAUAUCCACAAAGGAGGAUAAGGUCCUUUCUGCCCACUCUGGUUCCUGCAAGCUAUGUGAAAGCUCCUCCAGGAACAGGAGAAUAGCUGCCACAGGUAGCUGCUACUGCAUAAAAGCCAAAAUUAGCAGCAAUUUUCUGUCCAAGACUUUCCUUGGAAGUUGUAACCUUCAGUAGACUCCAGAGUUCUUACAUAGUUGCAUUAGACAGAUUCUUUCAGUGCAGAUGUUGUGUAGGUGGGGAGGCAUAUUCCUUGUGCUUAUUACUCCACCAUCUUCAUGGAGUUAUCCUGUAGGAGUUUUUUGUAUGUUGUGAAUACAAAUCUUUUGCCACAUGAAUGUAUUGGAGUAUUUUUCCCCCAGUCUGUUGCUUAGUUAUUCAUUUUCAAAACGAUUAUUCUUUUCAUGAGCAAAAUUUUCUUCAAGUUCAAUAUUUCACUUCUUAUUUUUAUGAUUAGUACAUUUUACGUUAUGCCUAAAAACUUUGACUACGCUAUGGUUGCAAAUAUAUUUUUUAGAAGCUUUAUGGUUCUUUUACAUUUAGGUCUGUGAUCCAUCUUGAAUUAAUUUUUGUAUAUGGAGUGCAGUAAGGGUCAGAAUUCUCUUCCCAAUGACCUAUCCAGUUGUUUCAGCACAAGUUGUUAAAUAGACUUUCCUUUCCCUAUUGAAUUGAUUUGGUGUCUUGGUUGAUAAUCAAUUGACUAUAUAUGCCUGGGUUUACUUCUGGACUCAAUUUUGUUUAU